GUGCUUGCUUCAGCAGUACAUAUACUAACAUUGAAAUGAUGCAGAGGUUAGCAUGGCCCCUGUGCAAGGAUGAUAUGCAAAUUCAUGAAGAGUUCCAUAUUUUU
Grammomys surdaster is the source of this 104-nucleotide small nuclear RNA. The record is from RefSeq and is a predicted model, not a curated record. NCBI's taxonomy places the organism in Eukaryota, Metazoa, Chordata, Mammalia, Rodentia, Muridae.